CCAAUCAAAAUAUCUGCGGAGAGGCAUAUCCACACUCUGUAUUUUUUCUUUUCCCUCCAUUUUCCUUCGUUUAAAUGAGAGUGCUGACCCCAUUAGAUAAAAAAAAGAAGAGAAGACAGACUGCAUUCAUUUUGAGAAGAGUGAUUAAUUACAGAUGUUACUGAGACAAUGAAAUAUAGAUCAUACCGACUGGGACUCCAGCCGGGUUUACUCAGUGUCAGGCUCUUCCAAUUUUGAUCAGAGGGAAAGGAAUUCAUCGCCGAGCUCUUUGCCACAGGUUUUUGUGAUCAUUAACAUUCUCUUCAAAGGCUUGCAAUAAAGCAUGCUAACCAAAAAAUCCACCCAAAAAGGCAGAAGGAAAGUUGUGACGUGCUGUGGUAGAUUUAUCUAGAUAUUUUUUUUGCAGACUGUUGCAACUCAUUUGGAGCUUGUGUAAAUGGCGUUUUGAAAUGAAAUCUCUAAACCAAAUCCUUUGGUCGACAGAUGCACGAGAGAACGAAAUGGAAAGAGAGGAUGUGCGAAGGAAAAGGCGAGAGAAGAUAUACUUUGCAUGGCUGAGAUAAAGGACAGAUCAUUAGUCAGGGCUCUUAAUAUAACUGCAGGAACAGGAGAGCGUGGCACUGUCGGUUUUUAGACAUUUGGGAUCUAUUUCCAUUUUAUAUGUACUUAUUUCAUAACUAUCGGCAGAUGUUAAACAUCUAGUUUAUACGUUAAUGAAAUGUGUGCAUAUUUACUUUUAUAUUGAGAACAUGACUUGGGUUAAGCUGAUUUCAUUUAACCUUUUAGUUUUACUGCAUUUCUCCAUCUUUUCUUGAAAACAAUGACUAAUAUCUGUUUUAUGUAUAUAGAGUCCACCUACAUUUUGGAACAUUUCCAGAUGAAACAUUAUGCAAAAAAAGCAAUAUAUCAUGACAAAAUGCAAAUUGUGAUAGACAGUAGCUAUUAAUCAGAUGUAAAUGGAAUAAAUGUUCUUAUUAUAAAUAACAUACACAUAAGUGGACACUUUAAAAUGAGCUUCAUGCAGGGUUCUCUCUCUUUUUUUUUUUUUUUUUUUUUUUAGAAAAAAGAUAGACACUGAAGACUGUAGAAAUUAAGCUGAAAAUUCAGCUUUGCUAUCACAGAAAUUAAUUCCAUUAAAAUAUCUUAGAAAACAGUUAUUAUAAAUUGUAAUAAUAUUCCAAAACACUGCUUUUUUUACUGUAUUUUUGUUCUAAUAAAUGCAGUGAGCUAAAGAGACUUUCAAAAACAUUAAAAAAAAACCUUACCCACCCCAAACUUUAGUGUUACUUGCAAUUUCGUGUUUUAACCACAGAUGGCGGUAGAGAGGCCAAUGUUCCGUAGUGCACCUUUGAAGAGAUCGAUCAUCCUAAAAUGUUGUUCCAAACAUGUAUGAGUAACAAAGAAGAUAUUUUGAAGAACUCAGGGCAACAAGCAACAAUGGAUCCCACUGGCUGUCAUUGAUAAAGAAAAAACAUAAAAAAAAAGGAAAGUCAAACAGGUUUGGGACAACAUGAAGUUUUUUUGCGGAGACACUGCCUCCCUUGCCUCGUCGAAGGAAACACCCCUGUUUACAGGCACAUGAAGUCACCAGUACAGCAGGCAAGCUUGGAAUAUGGAAAAGCUUACAUUCAGCAGAUGGAAUUAUUGCCAUUACAUUGAUUUUGUCAGGAGAAAAGAUGAUCUGAACACCACGCUUUACUUUACUCUGGCAUUACAUGGCUUGCUCUCCCACAUCCCUCUGAUCCAGAUAUCAAUUAUAUUACUAUAAUUAAAAAAAAAACAUUUUAUUAUGAACUUGUGUGGUUUCUUUUGAUAAAAUACAUCAUGAAAUCUAAUCAUAUAUAGGCAACGCAUGAGAAUUAAUGAGAUUAAUAUAACACUUUUACUUAAAAGUCACUAUCAUUCACCAUUGAGUGUUUGUAAUAACUUCUGACUGCGAUCCAAUGUGGAUUUUGGUCAAAUGAUG
This is a long non-coding RNA of Ctenopharyngodon idella (grass carp), 1966 nucleotides long. RefSeq lists it as uncharacterized. NCBI's taxonomy places the organism in Eukaryota, Metazoa, Chordata, Actinopteri, Cypriniformes, Xenocyprididae. The record is from RefSeq and is a predicted model, not a curated record. The transcript has 3 exons.